UUCUGCCCUAUGAUUAUUUAAAUGGCUGCAGUAUUCUGACUGUGCAAAGGUAGCAUAAUAACUAGUCUUUUAAUUGAAGGCUUGUAUGAAUGAAUUAAUGAGGGACUUAUUUUAUUGUUUUUAAUUUUUAAAUUUAAUUUUUAAGUAAAAAAGCUUAAUUUUAUUUCUGGGACGAUAAGACCCUAUAGAACUUUAUUUUUUUUUGAUUGUGUUUUUCUUUGGUUUAUUAUGUCAAUUUUUAUCAAAAUAAUUUUUUAUUGGGGUGAUAAAUAAAUUAAAAUACUUUAUUUAAUUUUUUCAUUUAUAUAUGUUUUAAUGAUCCAUUUUUAUGAUUUUAAGAUAAAGUUACCUUAGGGAUAACAGCGUAAUUUUGAUGGGGAGUUCUUAUUUAUAUCAAAGUUUGCGACCUCGAUGUUGAAUUAAGAUAAAAUUAAGGGGCAG
RNAcentral lists this ribosomal RNA (441 nucleotides) under Paromenia sp. U43. RNAcentral describes it as "partial large subunit ribosomal RNA". Lineage: Eukaryota; Metazoa; Arthropoda; Insecta; Hemiptera; Cicadellidae. The record is from RNAcentral.